ACCCAUUUGCACAUGUUCUUUCAUUUUCUUUUCCUUCCCAGUUGGAUCUGCCUGCCGUCAAGACUCACCACUUCCCACCUGUACACUGCUGUCUGUCCUCAUUUCAAGUGAAUCACCUUGCGGUCUUCUUAUGCCAGGUUCAGAGCUAAUGCCAGACGCUGUGGAAGGAUUGUUUUUUGACUCUCUAAUACUGUGGAAGAAAAAGAGAUCUUCCAGAUAUCGGAGUUCUCCUGACAGCUGAAGAAGGGAUGGAUGAGCUGGGGUCUCAAUUCAUCAGAACAUCAAGGUAGGAGGCUGGUGCCUGCCACUCACUCUUCUCACCUGAGUCGUUCCGACGUGUAAGAUCACGCUCCUAUUUGGAAGCAGAAAACACUUGUCAAAGCUGGAUGCACAGGUCCAUUCAUCCAAAGGUGGUAUGAAAGGGUGCAGAUGGAAUGGUGAAUUGGGCAGUUUGC
RNAcentral lists this long non-coding RNA (455 nucleotides) under Pan troglodytes (chimpanzee). Its description in RNAcentral is "lncRNA (ENSPTRG00000054303.1)". Lineage: Eukaryota; Metazoa; Chordata; Mammalia; Primates; Hominidae. The record is from RNAcentral.